This is a long non-coding RNA of Gasterosteus aculeatus aculeatus (three-spined stickleback), 1842 nucleotides long. RefSeq lists it as uncharacterized. The record is from RefSeq and is a predicted model, not a curated record. NCBI's taxonomy places the organism in Eukaryota, Metazoa, Chordata, Actinopteri, Perciformes, Gasterosteidae.
CAUCUAGGUUCUUACUGAAGACAUUUACUCUUAGCACUGUGAUGAAACCAUGUUUAUAUACAGCAACUGUCAUUCGAAUGGUAAUCUGCAAGAGAGGAAGGUCUUUUUACGCAGCCCCUUCACUUUUGUCGAUAUAUUGUUUGCACUUUCACUUUCCUAUAUCUUUGUAUGACUUGAUCCUACUUGCUGUGGACAGAUUUUCCUUUGCGGUUCUCUGUCGACUACCUUUUCUUUGUUGGCCUUGGCGUCCCGCCUAACCUUUUUGUUAGACCACCUCAACUUGUGAACAAAUGGCCAAACCAAUUAUUUUAAUGAUUGAAAUGUGAAUGGGAAAACCUUUUAGAAGAAGAGAUCCAAUGUGUUUGUUUUCAUGAAAGCAGGUCUUUCAUGAGACCCGACUUCAGUCUACGGUGGCCCUGAAGUUCAAAACACAACGGAAAAUAGGAACGCACAACAGCCAAUAGGAAAACACAACGACAAAUGGGAAACCACAACGAAAUGAACUCCUUACGGAAAGGGUAGGACCUUAUAGCAGAGGAUGGACCCUUCUGAUUGGACAACAGGAAAUGAGGACUCGCUCGCUCGCUACACCUUCAUUUGGCGCGAAAAUACGUCGAAAAAAAACAAUGUUUUGCCAUAAUUGUGGUCAAAAGUUGUGGACAGAUACUUGGAAAAAGUCUGGAGUCUUUGGCUCAACCCACCGAUGGACCAACUUCAGAAUGCUCCAUUCAACUCAAACCCAAGAUUCAAAACCUUUCUGGAAUACCGGAAGAAAAAAGGAGAGGAAAGGCAACUUUUUCCUUUGGCAAAAUGCGGGAUAAGAAAAAGGAAAAAAGGAAAGUGCAGAACCGGGCAGCAGUCCUGUGUCUUCACAGACAGUCGUACAUGUGAAGUGUGCGCUCCAGCUGCUGGACGACGCGCUGGUAGAAGGCAAUCUGCUCCGUGAGGUCGUGACCCAGAAGUCGAAAGAGACUGCUGGGAGCCUGGCUGGCAGAAAACAAACAAACAACGCUAUGGACAACACAAGAGUCCCUAGUAGAGCACAAGGGAGUAGAUUUGGGUGUUCGGUUGCCAACUACCAUGGAUACUACAAUGGACCCGGAAGAGACGCUGCUCGGAGGCUCAUCUGGAACCUCCUUACCUAGGUCAAUUCCACCACCUUCUACUCCACUGUAUGCUACCUCCUCAGUUAGGUCGACUCUAGCUUGCACUCCACCACCUUCAACUACUCCACUGCGUGCUACAAUUACCGAUGAUCUACCUGUUAAUUUCUGCAAUAUUAUAACUGCAUCAACAUAUGGGCAUCACAAAGAAUCUUCAUGCCAUGCUUUCACUCAUCCUGUGUAGUCUAACAAACAGCUGAUGUCAAGAUGGUUACUACCACAUGCCUAAUCGGUAGGAAUACAACUGACUUUAUACCUCCAUUUCUUAAAGGAACGAGGACCCAGCAAACAAGGCAAAUGAGAGACGUCGAUGUGCUGGUAAACCAGAUGCAAGUCAUGACUCAACAAUGGAAGGAGGACAUGGCAAGAAGUGAGGCCCGGGAGGAACGGUUGAUCGCCAGCAUCCUCCGCACUGACAGUAUGGUUGAGAAGCUGAUGCAGAGAAUGGAUAACAUUCAACCUCAACCAAACACAUUGUCACCACCACCACAACAUCAACCACCGCAAGAUGCGUAUUAUGGUUAUGGAUGCCUUACUUAUUUGCACUACCGCCUGAAAAGCACCUUACCGUUCAUACAGCACAAUUUCUACACUCUACCUCAGUGUGUGUAUAUAUAUAUAUAUAUAUACACAUACACAAUCAUAAUUUAUAUAUAUAAAUAUUAGUUUUUUGUGACAU